GAUGAACGCUGGCGGCGUGCCUAAUACAUGCAAGUCGAGCGAACGGACGAGAAGCUUGCUUCUCUGAUGUUAGCGGCGGACGGGUGAGUAACACGUGGAUAACCUACCUAUAAGACUGGGAUAACUUCGGGAAACCGGAGCUAAUACCGGAUGAUAUUUUGAACCGCAUGGUUCAAAAGUGAAAGACGGUCUUGCUGUCACUUAUAGAUGGAUCCGCGCUGCAUUAGCUAGUUGGUAAGGUAAUGGCUUACCAAGGCAACGAUGCAUAGCCGACCUGAGAGGGUGAUCGGCCACACUGGAACUGAGACACGGUCCAGACUCCUACGGGAGGCAGCAGUAGGGAAUCUUCCGCAAUGGGCGAAAGCCUGACGGAGCAACGCCGCGUGAGUGAUGAAGGUCUUCGGAUCGUAAAACUCUGUUAUUAGGGAAGAACAUAUGUGUAAGUAACUGUGCACAUCUUGACGGUACCUACUCAGAAAGCCACGGCUAACUACGUG
RNAcentral lists this ribosomal RNA (497 nucleotides) under uncultured bacterium. RNAcentral's name for it is "partial 16S ribosomal RNA". It matches the Rfam family "Bacterial small subunit ribosomal RNA", at positions 28 to 507 of the family's 1533-position model. The record is from RNAcentral.